AUUUGAAAUCUCCGAUGCUUGCAUCGGCGAGUUGUAGUUGCGAGAAGCACUUUCUAGGUGGAUCAGCGGUGCCUAAGUUGCUUGGAACAGCACGUCGCAGAGGGUGACAACCCCGUCUGUGCCGCUGCUGGCCGCUGACGAUGUGCUUUCGAAGAGUUGGGUUGUUUGGGAAUGCAGCCCAAAAUGGGUGGUAAAACUCCAUCUAAAGCUAAAUACUGCCGUGAGACAGAUAGCGAACAAGUACCGUGAGGUAAAGAUGAAAAGAACUUUGAAAAGAGAAUUAAAAAGUAUCUGAAACCGUCAAAAGGGGAGCAAAUGGACUCAGCAAUGCGCCCUCUGAGAUUCAGCCGGUGGAUGGCGGCGGCGCUGGGCUUGCGGAUCUGAAUGGGCCAUGGCCCGGCGCCCGCUUCCCCCGCCAUCGCACUUCUCUGCGGCGCGUGUCAACGUGCAUUGGGACUGGGUCUGAAAGGUGCCGGGAACGUAGGUGUGGGCCCCCGGGUCCGUGCCAUUGCAGCCCGGUUCUCGUGGUUCGGCCCCGACUGAGGAGCGACACGCAGGGCAUGCCUCUUGUGGCUAGGGUACCGUCCUUCCGGCCGGUUGUCCAGUGCAGUGGACUGCUUGCAGUGCUCUGCGACGGCUACCGGUCGUUGGGGUGGUGAUCUCGUACCAUGCCCUUAGGAUGAAACGAAGACCAAGGAGUCUAACAUGUGCACGAGUUUUAGGGUGAGUCAAACCCCACGGUGCAAUGAAAGUGAAGGCGGUUCCAGCCGCUGAGGUGAGAUCCGCAGCCGCAAGGCCCCGGCGCAUCAUCGACCGACCUAUUCUA
RNAcentral lists this ribosomal RNA (826 nucleotides) under Mycedium sp. MSB-2008. RNAcentral's name for it is "eukaryotic LSU rRNA". It matches the Rfam family "Eukaryotic large subunit ribosomal RNA", at positions 113 to 777 of the family's 3401-position model. The record is from RNAcentral. Lineage: Eukaryota; Metazoa; Cnidaria; Anthozoa; Scleractinia; Merulinidae.